Molecule: long non-coding RNA, 701 nt
Organism: Gopherus agassizii (Agassiz's desert tortoise)
Lineage: Eukaryota; Metazoa; Chordata; Testudines; Testudinidae
Source: Ensembl
CAACUACACAGAGUUCUCUAGCUCUGUGCAGAGCAGGGGAAUCAUAGCUCAAGGCUGUGAAACACCAAGCAGCACUGGAGCAGACCCUAAUGCAAUGAUGGGGACUGUGCUGUUGCAUGAGAGGGAGGAGCAACGUGGCUCUAAACUCACUUCAAAUGCCUGCAGUUAGGACCAUAGGCCCUACCCUGCAUUACCAAGGAAGUGAAGAGGAGAAAAUAGAAUGUGGCAAACCAGGAAGAAGGAGCCAUUGGGAAAUACUAAGAGGAAUGUCCUGUAGAAAAUCUCCAUGGGAGAAGGUCCUAUUUAAGUUCUGUUGAUGGUAAAAUACUAUCAUCUGAAGAUCUUUCAUCUCAAGUAAGGGAGGAGGAAGACGUAAUGCUAGCUGGACUGAGUGCAUACUAUGUGGCAGUUGUUGCAUGUGCCAUCAGCUGGAUGCUACUGCUGGAAUACAGAGGGAAACGUUUGUAGGGAGCUUUAUAGCCAUAAGAAUAAUGCAAGUCUAAAAAGUACCUAUAAAUGCAAGAAUCUAAUCACAGGGGUCUAUUUCAAGUGACUAUGAAAUCCCACUUUUAAACCAUUUUGAUGCUUGUAACAAAGAGUUGUCAGGCUUUUUUUGUAAUUUCCCUGUAACAAAUACUUUAUUUGAAGAACCCCUUCUAGCUUUAAAUAAAGAAAAUCUAAUGAUAAUGUAACUGCUGGUA